This 5556-nucleotide long non-coding RNA is filed under the name Phoenix dactylifera (date palm). RNAcentral describes it as "long non-coding RNA (PDAC_LNC005153)". Lineage: Eukaryota; Viridiplantae; Streptophyta; Magnoliopsida; Arecales; Arecaceae. The record is from RNAcentral.
CUUCCUUUCUGGUCCUAUGCAAAGCUGAUCUUCAACUGCUGGUUGGUCUUACCCUACUUCAAUGGUGCUGCAUAUGUCUAUGAACAUUUUGUGAGGCCGUUGUUUGUCAACCAACAAACGGUAAACAUUUGGCAUUUCCCAAAGAAGAUGAACUUCUUCAGUAAACCAGAUGAUGUUUUAUCAGCUGCAGAAAGAUAUAUUGGAGAGAACGGACCAGAAGCAUUUGAAAAGCUCAUGAGCAAGUCUGAGAGGGUAUCGAAGCCCAGGAAUAACCGCCGUUCAAUUUUAGAGGAGGUGGAAGCUGAAAGAGGAUCAAAGUCCGGGAGUGAAAAUUAUACGAUCUUUGAUGGCGAUCAUCGAUACUAAAGCCAAGAUUUCUUAGUGUACGAGAGCAGGCGCGAUGAUGGGGUUUAUCAUCGGUCUCAGAAUGGACUCUUACCUGUCUUGACUUCAUGAGAUAGUUACUGUUUUGUUUUCUGUUUGAUAUAUCUGUUGUCCAAGAUGUCGAUGCAUUGUGAAUCAAGAACUCCCUUUCUUGUGAUUCUAGUCUAGAACUCAGUAUAUAUCCUCUUUAUGCUCAUGUAACUAUGUUGUGUUUUCAUGUAACUCAUAAUCAAUCCAGAUACUUGAUGCCCCUCCGCGGCUCUCCGAUGGCGGCCGAAGGUGGGCUCUCUCCCUCUCUUCCCCGCGCUCUCUCUGGUUCUCUUCUUCUUCCCCGGUUCCGACGGGGAAGAGCUUCCCGGUUCGUACUGCCCAGAGCACGGUACGAACCGGCCCGUACCGGUCCGGUAGGCAACCGGUACGCCUACCGGACCCGGUACGGUGGACCUUGGGUGUCACCUUUUUCAUCAACAAGGCAUCAACUGGGCUUAUAGAAAGAAAUAAUAUAGUACCAAGUAGAAGUGUAAUUUUAUAUGUAAACCUGUGAAAUCUAUCUCUUAAAUAACCCCACAAAACAUUUUCUUUACUACCAAGCCUCAUUUCAACUACUUGGAUUGACAGUCUUCUUCCCAUUGAUGCUUCUGGAGUGCCUAUUGUAGCUUGAGUAUAUUAUACAUGAUCGCUGGUCAAUCAAUUGCCAACCCUCCACUUUUUUCAUCUGUAUUUGUAACUAAUGGCAAUGUUGUUAGAACUAAGAAUUUCAUAGUAAGUGGUGGAAAUACCUGUGAUGUAGUGAACAUCGAUCUUGUUGUGGAUACAUGAUAAGAUCAUAUCAAACUAUCUUGCAUAGGUCUUUGUGCUUUUUUAAUACAUAUAACUGUUAUUUAUGCCCUUGUUUCAAAUCAUUAGGUACUCAUCCAGGACAACCACACAUGAAGUCAUCCCAUGUUAAGUUGUUGGCAUUUCCUUUAACCAAGAUUUUUAAAUAGAUUUUGGAAGUGUCCCUUGUAUCUGUAACAACUUUUCAUGCAGCCUGAGAACUUGCUGAUGCUGGUGUUGAACCCAUGCAAUCAGAGAUGAAAAUCUACAUGAAUCGAGCUUUUGAGAUAAAUUGUAAUCUUAGAGCCCACAAUUUGAACCCAGCCACAAAUUUCAGAGCAUACCAGGUGCUGCAAUUUUCAGAGAGUAUUACAAUCCACUCUUGAAUACUCAUUAUAGAAAAUCCAAAAGGUGUCAGCUAUCACAAGGGGCUUAGGCAAGGUCAUUCCUUGUUGAACCAUUGUUAUUUAGAAGUAUAGCUGAGGUUUGAAAAGUAUGAUAUGUUGUCAGCUGCUAGAUGACCCUGGGUCUUAUAUAUGGCCUGCACUUGGAAUUGUCAUGUCUUGUGAUGUGCACCAAUUAGUUUACUUUAUGUUGGGCUGUGAAUCAAGAGAGAAUAUUUUUGAGGGUUCUGUAAAUCCAUCAUAGUUGAGUGGAUUUGAUGAUAGAAACCAAGUGAUGGUUUGUAUCAUUCAGUUUUUUCACAGUCAAAUAUUCGAGGCUGCUUUUUGUUUACUAUGUAUGGCUGGUUAUCUAAUUUCAUCUUAUGGAUGUCACACUUUGUGUCAUAUGUGUGGCAAGUUUAUUGAGAUGUAUACUAUAGGAUAGAAUCGGUUUCUCGUGCCACUGUUGGACUGGAAGCAGGUAUCAGAUUCUUCUCAGCAAUCAGGAUUUUUUACGUCCAACUGUCGAAGCAUCUAAAACUAACAAAUAAAAGAACAAGUUAGGGGUUCUUUUACAUUUUGACAAUGUUUUAUCUUAAACAUAUUGAAAAUUACAUGCUUCAUUUUUUAUAUCAGUUUUUCUUAUGUUCCUGACAAUUUUUUCUGUGAUUGAUUCACAGGCCUGUGGUGACACUUGCUUACCCUUUGUAAGUGGCAUUUGUAAUUGGAUUUUCCCACGAAGCAAUGGUGUCUCUUUUUUAUUAUUCUUAUAUUUGCACUUUCGUGGGAUUUUGACAGGUAUGCUUCAGUCAAGGCAAUAGAAACCAAAUCUCCUGUUGAUGAUCAGCAAUGGCUCACUUAUUGGGUCUUGUAUUCUUUUAUUACUCUGUUUGAAAUGACUUUUGCCAAAGUGAUUGAAUGGUAUGUUACAUUUCUGAUUUUUUCCCAAUUUAUCUCCAAUUUAUUUUCUUCUUGUUAGCGAUGCUUGAUAUUACUUGAUUUUUCAUUUAUCAUUACUCAAGUAUGAUCUUUGAUUGUGAUAUAAUGUGUCUUCAUCACUGAGGGCUGAGGCAAGGUGCAAAUCAUAAUAUAAAACAUUGAUUAGCUUAAAGUAAUCAUAGUUUACCUCCACAAUGUGAGAAAUGGGUUAUCAUUAGUUAUCCAUAUAUCUCGAGUGCAGAAAAUAGUGUAUUUAAUUCUUGCCAAAUAAUGAAGUUGUGAUAUGCAGGGACUAUGAAGUAAAUUAAACACUAUAUAAUUCUGUACAUAAGCGUCAGUUAUGGGGAUGAACUGGGAGGUCCAUUCUAAGGUUAUAAUUUCAUCAUUCACAUGACAAGCUGUACAUUAGNNNNNNNNNNNNNNNNNNNNNNNNNNNNNNNNNNNNNNNNNNNNNNNNNNNNNNNNNNNNNNNNNNNNNNNNNNNNNNNNNNNNNNNNNNNNNNNNNNNNNNNNNNNNNNNNNNNNNNNNNNNNNNNNNNNNNNNNNNNNNNNNNNNNNNNNNNNNNNNNNNNNNNNNNNNNNNNNNNNNNNNNNNNNNNNNNNNNNNNNNNNNNNNNNNNNNNNNNNNNNNNNNNNCCUCCUCCUCUCUCUCUCUCUCUCUCUCUCUCUCUCUCUCUCUCUCUCUCUCUCUCGUGUUCAUUUCUCUCACUGUCUCUCUUCAGAAUAUCAUUUAAUUUGAAUAAGAAAUUAUCUUUCAUAUUGCAUGUUAGAUGACAAUUUUGGGGAGAUUUACAUGGUCCAUAGUCAUGCUUGCAUCUAAUUUCCAUAGAACAAAACAAAGGAUUAAAGUAUCGCAUGUUGGUGCUGUGCCAGCGUAGCCCUGACUAUGUAUUGUGUCAUGUUGUGCCAGUGUUUGGCAUGCAGAUGCACUGCCAGCAUGUCAAUUAACGGCUUCAUGCCAAUAAGGCACCAGAACAUUAUGGGCCAAGGCACUACGAUCUAUGCGAUUAUGUCUUGCUUCUCAUUAUUUAUUUUAUUGUGGUAAUUUGUUUUUUAUUCUUCUAUGAUGUGCUUGCACCUCUCAUAAAAAAUGACAAUUUUUAGCAGUACAAUUUGAUUUUUGGCAUCCUGCUUACAUUAAUUUCAUGCAAGACUUAGUCUCAUGCUUUAUCUGUGCUGCAAUUCACAUAUAUUUCUUGCAGGCUUCCUUUCUGGUCCUAUGCAAAGCUGAUCUUCAACUGCUGGUUGGUCUUACCCUACUUCAAUGGUGCUGCAUAUGUCUAUGAACAUUUUGUGAGGCCGUUGUUUGUCAACCAACAAACGGUAAACAUUUGGCAUUUCCCAAAGAAGAUGAACUUCUUCAGUAAACCAGAUGAUGUUUUAUCAGCUGCAGAAAGAUAUAUUGGAGAGAACGGACCAGAAGCAUUUGAAAAGCUCAUGAGCAAGGUAGGCUUGAUCAGGUUCCAUGAUACCAAAGACUUUAGCUUAUACUCCUUUUGGAUGCAUUUGUUUUAAUUUAGCCAUCAGCUUUGUUGCAAAUUUGUGUGUUCUGCUAUCUGAUGUGAGCUUCUUGUGCUACAAUUUCUGUCGGUUCCUACUGCACUAAAACAUUCUUUUGUUACAUGCUUGUUCGAUUGUCUGUUACAAUCUUUCAAAUCAAUAUCUCAGAUAUCAACUCUUGGUGUUGGCUUACCUAAGGCAGAAACCUGAAGCUGAACUUCUUCUAUGUACUAUAUACUUCUUUUUCUUCUAUAUUUCUUCUAAUUUCAACUUAUAACAGAACUCAGAUUAGCCUUCUUGUGUCUAGCUGCUUCUUUCUAUUCUAUAUAAGUUUUUUCUUGCCUACAUUGAAAUUGUAAAGCGAGUCACCACUCUUUAUUAUUUAUUUGAUGCCAAAUUGUAUGUUUGCUGGUAAGUCUCUUGCAAAGUCGAGUAUUUCCUUUGUAGUUUGUAUAGUAACUCAAGUUGUUGCCAAUCCCAAAUAAUUGGGGAAAACAGCUGGAUGGUUAUGGUAUGCAGUAACUCAAGUUGUUGUUUUGAGGCAGAAAUUUGAACCUGAAAUCACAACAUUCAAGGAGAUAUCUCCUGUUCCUAUUUCUAGUACUGAGCCCCCUUCCCCCUUCUAAAUGUCGUUGAGUUUUUUGAAUAAUUUAUAGAUGUUGUUAUAAACCAGUGACAAAAGAGCUACUCCUUUUCUUUUGUAGAACGGCAACAUCUUUUUGCUGUGGCAUUUCUCCAAAUCAGAAAUACAGUAUUUAAUCAUGGUUUUAUUUUUGUGUUUCCCUCUAUUGUCACAUAGAUUGGCAGUAUGGAUUUUUUAGCUCUCAUCAGAUGGAGGAUACUUACUGGAUCAAAUGUCGUGUUUUGCAGUCUGAGAGGGUAUCGAAGCCCAGGAAUAACCGCCGUUCAAUUUUAGAGGAGGUGGAAGCUGAAAGAGGAUCAAAGUCCGGGAGUGAAAAUUAUACGAUCUUUGAUGGCGAUCAUCGAUACUAAAGCCAAGAUUUCUUAGGUGAGCUGAACAAAUACACUGAUCCUAUUGUAUUAACUAGGAAUAACCUUUUGCAUACUUCACUUCCUUUUUAUUUUUUUAAUUAUUAUUAAAUACAUUAUGAAUAUAUGACAAUCGAGUUCGCUCAACAGUGUACGAGAGCAGGCGCGAUGAUGGGGUUUAUCAUCGGUCUCAGAAUGGACUCUUACCUGUCUUGACUUCAUGAGAUAGUUACUGUUUUGUUUUCUGUUUGAUAUAUCUGUUGUCCAAGAUGUCGAUGCAUUGUGAAUCAAGAACUCCCUUUCUUGUGAUUCUAGUCUAGAACUCAGUAUAUAUCCUCUUUAUGCUCAUGUAACUAUGUUGUGUUUUCAUGUAACUCAUAAUCAAUCCAGAUACUUGAUGAAACUUCAAGUAGUUUGUUUGUGCUCCUGUCUCCUUCAUCACAGUGCUUUGACCUCUAAAAGCACUGUUUUUGUUCCAAUAACUUGCUCCUUAUGGAAAAAGAACCCAAGGUGAAUGACUAUUUGAUAGAUGCAAUGAAGAAAA